RNAcentral lists this ribosomal RNA (810 nucleotides) under uncultured archaeon. RNAcentral's name for it is "bacterial SSU rRNA". It matches the Rfam family "Archaeal small subunit ribosomal RNA", at positions 1 to 809 of the family's 1478-position model. The record is from RNAcentral.
UUCGCCCUUUUCCGGUUGAUCCUGCCGGACCUGACUGCUAUCGGAUUGAUACUAAGCCAUGCGAGUCAUUGUAGCAAUACAAGGCAGACGGCUCAGUAACGCGUAGUCAACCUAACCUAUGGACGGGAAUAACCUCGGGAAACUGAGAAUAAUGCCCGAUAGAACACUAUACCUGGAAUGGUUUGUGUUCCAAAUGAUUUAUCGCCGUAGGAUGGGACUGCGGCCUAUCAGUUUGUUGGUGAGGUAAUGGCCCACCAAGACUAUUACAGGUACGGGCUCUGAGAGGAGUAGCCCGGAGAUGGGUACUGAGACACGGACCCAGGCCCUAUGGGGCGCAGCAGGCGAGAAAACUUUGCAAUGUGCGAAAGCACGACAAGGUUAAUCCGAGUGAUUUGUGCUAAACGAAUCUUUUGUUAGUCCUAGAACCACUAACGAAUAAGGGGUGGGCAAGUUCUGGUGUCAGCCGCCGCGGUAAAACCAGCACCUCAAGUGGUCAGGAUGAUUAUUGGGCCUAAAGCAUCCGUAGCCGGCUCUGUAAGUUUUCGGUUAAAUCUGUACGCUUAACGUACAGGCUGCCGGGAAUACUGCAGAGCUAGGGAGUGGGAGAGGUAGACGGUACUCGGUAGGAAGGGGUAAAAUCCCUUGAUCUAUUGAUGACCACCUGUGGCGAAGGCGGUCUACCAGAACACGUCCGACGGUGAGGGAUGAAAGCUGGGGGAGCAAACCGGAUUAGAUACCCGGGUAGUCCCAGCUGUAAACUAUGCAAACUCAGUGAUGCAUUGACUUGUGGUCAAUGCAGUGCUGCAGGGA